GGGGAAUAUUGCACAAUGGGGGAAACCCUGAUGCAGCAACGCCGCGUGAGUGAUGAAGGUCUUCGGAUCGUAAAGCUCUGUCUUCAGGGACGAUAAUGACGGUACCUGAGGAGGAAGCCACGGCUAACUACGUGCCAGCAGCCGCGGUAAUACGUAGGUGGCGAGCGUUGUCCGGAUUUACUGGGCGUAAAGGGAGCGUAGGCGGACUUUUAAGUGAGAUGUGAAAUACCCAGGCUCAACCUGGGGGCUGCAUUUCAAACUGGAAGUCUAGAGUGCAGGAGAGGAGAGUGGAAUUCCUAGUGUAGCGGUGAAAUGCGUAGAGAUUAGGAAGAACACCAGUGGCGAAGGCGACUCUCUGGACUGUAACUGACGCUGAGGCUCGAAAGCGUGGGGAGCAAAC
Molecule: ribosomal RNA, 400 nt
Filed under: uncultured bacterium
Lineage: Bacteria
Description: bacterial SSU rRNA
Rfam family: Bacterial small subunit ribosomal RNA
Source: RNAcentral